Molecule: long non-coding RNA, 2852 nt
Filed under: Homo sapiens (human)
Lineage: Eukaryota; Metazoa; Chordata; Mammalia; Primates; Hominidae
Description: non-protein coding LPP-AS2:2
Source: RNAcentral
ACGCCCCGCGCCCCGGGCCGUGCAGCCAGCCCUUACCUUGCAGCGCCCGGCUGUCUCCCGAUCGCUAAAGCUACUUAUCCCGGGAAAGCUCGCGCGGGACCCGGGAACGAACCCACAGACAAAAAGUGAAACUUCGGCAGGGCUGGAGCGGCUGCUGGUUGGUGCCUUUCCCCCUCCUUCCUCCCCACCGUCCCCACCCCCUCCCCUUGGUCUCCCGUGCGGUGCCCUGAGCGCUGGAGGCUGACGUCAGGGGCCUGAAUUCCUGACUUUGCCUGCACGCAUUUGUCCAUGUAAGGUAUGGGAAGGCGUGUGCCCGCGAAGCCGCCGCGCAGAGCUCGCCUGGCGGGGGAGGGGAAACCCGCAGCCGGCAGUGGCUUUGCCAAAAGGUGGGCGCACUGAGGGCAUUGCAUUUCCUGGGAGGAAGAGGAGGAGACGCGGGAAUGCAGGGAGCUUGCAAAGGAGGAAGAGAAAGAGGGAGAUGUGGAGACUUUGCCCCUGCUAGAGGAAGAGGAAGGAGACGUAGGAGGAAGCGGCCGCGUCAGGGGGCUCCUGGAAAAUGGAAAAGCCUGCGUCUACUAUUAAGGCGUCAAAUUAGGGCACUGAGCUUGAGUGGAAGAGAUCCAGCCAUGAAAUCCCCUUCCAAGAUUUUCCUCGUGAGCCCCGCCCUGGAUUCCCAGCAAGACUCAAAACUUACAAGGUGUCAGAGCUGGCAAAGACCAACUUCCAACCCGUCCGCUUGGCACGUGAGGAAACUGAAGCUCUCGGAAGAGAAAUGACUUGUACAGGGUCGUCACUCAGCAGAUCGAGGAGCGGGCCCAGGCGCUCUGCCUCCCACUUGGGUUCCCGCCUCCAGGAAGGGCCCUGGCUCCCUUUUAGCCCUGAGCCUUGAAGCAGGUUAGAUGCCCGCGAGCUGUGCGGACCACCCAGUGAUUUCUACUGCUCUUGGCCCAGAGCCAGUUCCUGGAAGGUCCUGGUUGACAGCGAGCCCUGAAUAUCAAUGACAAUCAGUUGCUUCAGGGCAACUUCCUCUGUCCUGUGCUCAAAUAAAUGAAUCCCUGGAGUUUAACGUUUACUUCUGAGCCCCGCCCAGAAAGCUUGCUCUGUGCUUAUAGCUUCAAAAAAGUCUGCGAACGAGAUGAACUGGUUUGAAUACAGACAAGCCUGUCAUUGGAAGUUUUGAGUUGGAUUUUUCUUUCCCCUCUGACAUCUGUAAGGGUGAACGACGAUGAGAACCACCACUUAACUGUGUUAGGGGAUUAUGACGCGCAGCAGCCAUGGCCAGGAAAGCAUUCCAUACCCUGAGACUUCCUUUCCUUGCACUUCUCUCCUAUUAAUAUCUAAAGUAAUCCCUCACGUUAGCACAUAAUGAAAGCAGUCUCUCACCCGGCUAUUGCAUCUUCAGGUGAGUUAGAUAGGACAGAGCGUAGUCCCCCCUUUACACCUCAGACAAAAACUUAAGAAACGUUACUCGCCCAACACAAAACAACUGACUGACCAAGCACCUGUCUUCCCCUCCUCCCAUCCAGGUCUCCUGACUAAUCCCUUCAUCUUUCCAUACCUGGCCCUGACCUCUAGCAGGACCUAAUUCCAUUCAUAACUGUUGAGAGUACACCAUGAGCUACUGAUUCAUAAAAACUCCAAAAAGUGGUUCUUCUGAGGAUGGACUUUAGUGGGAUUCUUUUGACCAGGAAUUAAGGAAAUAAUGUAAAAACACAUGUUAUUGGAUUUAUUAAGCACCUUCCUUGUGCUUAAUAAGUGUUUGAAUUCAGACAUUUCAGGGGUAAGACUACUUAACCUCUGUGUUCCUCUCAACUAUCUAAUGUACACAUACAAAAAUAUGAACAUGGCUGGGCGCGGUGGCUUACACCUGUAAUUCCAGCACUUUGGGACGCCGAGGCGGGCAAAUCACCUGAGGUCAGGAGCUCGAGCCAGCCUGGCCAACAUGGCAAAACCCCAUCUCUACCAAAAAUACAAAAAACUAGCUGGGCGUGGCGGCGAGCGCCUGUAAUCCCAGGUAUUCCGGAAGCUGAGGCAGGAGAAUUGCCUGAACCCGGGAGGCAAAGGUUUUAGUGAGCCGAGAUUGCGCCACUGCACUCCAGCCUGGGGGACAGAGCAAGACUGUUGUCAAAAAAAAAAAAUAUAUAUAUAUACAAACACAUAUAUAUACACAUAUAUAUACAUAUAUACACAUAUAUAUACAUAUAUAUACACAUAUAUAUACAUAUAUAUAUACACACACACAUAUAUAUAUACACACAUACAUAUAUAUAUAUGAAGGCAGUAACAGAGAGAUAAGGUCGAGAAUAACCACCCAUUCCACAGACUAAUAAAGAAUUUAUCUCUUUGCAACUAACAUAGUUUGAAAUGGGAGAUACGGGCUCUUGGAGAGAGUUUUUUCUGGGGUUCUGAAAAGGUCAGAUCCUAUCAAAACACAAUCCACUCACUCAAACAUUUCAGCGUACUCACAUUCUGAGUACUACUGUUUAGUAUGAAAAGAAUUCCAGUGUUACAUGAAGUAAAAAUGGAUUAUCUCAAUCCUCAUGGAAUAUAACGGGACUUGACCAGCAUUUCCUUUUUUUUUUUCCUUCAGUAACUCACUUAUAAGGAAUAAUAGGGUCCUAAUGAGGAUUAAGAUUUAAUAAGGUGUAAUUAGAGUUGUUCAUUUCUUCCAUCAUAUACAUUAUAAGAGUACUGUGCCGGAUCCAGAAAUGCUACUAAUUAUGUUGAAACUGUUGUAUGGGUGUGUUGGGGAAGUCACUGUGUUUCUCCUCCUGAAAUGUUUAUGAAUUGCUCAGGUGAGCAUGGUGAGCAUGGUGUUAGCAUGAACAUCAUAUAAAGUUAACUACAAAAGA